Lepidothrix coronata (blue-crowned manakin) is the source of this 120-nucleotide long non-coding RNA. RefSeq lists it as uncharacterized. The transcript is spliced from 2 exons. The record is from RefSeq and is a predicted model, not a curated record. NCBI's taxonomy places the organism in Eukaryota, Metazoa, Chordata, Aves, Passeriformes, Pipridae.
GAACAGGCUGUUUCUUGCUCUGCAAUACAGGUCAGAAGUCGGUGUUUUCUGAGCAUGGUCUUAUAACCACAAUAGCUUACAAACUGGGCAGAGACAAACCUGUUUGUUAUGCACUAGAGG